Molecule: long non-coding RNA, 3252 nt
Filed under: Fragaria vesca (wild strawberry)
Lineage: Eukaryota; Viridiplantae; Streptophyta; Magnoliopsida; Rosales; Rosaceae
Description: long non-coding RNA (FVES_LNC001384)
Source: RNAcentral
UUAGGAAGAAAUGCAUCCACCUUCAUGAAAGCUAAAGUAUCUUUUUCUGCGUCAUAACAACUGCAGAAAAGAAGUUGCAUAAAGCACCAUAGAAGCUACAAUUUGAGUUGUUCUUACAGAAAUGGAGAAUAUAACUGAACUUAAAAACGGAUACCAAAGUACACAAAACAAGAGGCGUGAAGAGACUAGUGGUAUAUAUUUACCAUUUUCAGGUGUAUAAGAUAAUUGGUACAUUCAUUCACUGUCUGACAUUCAACUUCUAUACAAGGAACCAAAAGUCAAACCAAACCUAGGAUGUUUUUGUCUCACCCUGUGCCAUGAAACUUUGAUGCUUAAGUUCUCUUGGGUCAGAGUGCAAGUGGGAGUGUUUUAGAGUUGAUGCAUAAGUUCUCUAUUGCUUAGGCAUUUAAAAUACUGGUCAAACCCUCAGUCGAACCAUUGAAACAUAACUUCAAAUUCUUAUGUUUAUAAGAAUAGCGUGAAUCUGGAUUCCACAUCACCUCAGUUUUCAUGUGAAUUCCCAAUAUGCAACUACAAUGUUUUUUGUUAGAAAGCCCUUAAGAAACUUAGAGCAGCACAACAAUAAUUUUUUUUUGGAAAAGUAAACAAUACAAAGCACCAACUCUGAUGUAUAUCUCACAUGUGACUUUAAGAACCAGAAAACAAAGUUGAACAUACACACCGAAAUGGAUGCUCAGACGUGUAAAAAUCUGGCUUAUUGGCUUUGGCAAUCACAACAUCAAAAAGCUUUACGACCCAAAGAAUCCUGACAAAAACUCACAUUGUACUUUAACAAAUUAAUCCACAAUUAAUGCCAAACAACAAAUAGAAGAAAUUAACCCAUGCACAGACACAUUCAUGCUCUCAUUAAUAACAGACAAACCAAAGCUUUCCUAAGUAAGCAUCCAAAUAUUUUAUACAUCAUACAUAAUCCCCUCCAAUAUUUGCUGGUAGUUGUGAGAUGGAAGCCACGCAUUUGUGGGAUCCUUUCUUACUGUAACAACUAAAACUCCUUUGAGCCAAACCAAACUGGUUCUAGCACCACAUAUAAAAACUAAUAAGUUUUAUACACCUUCAAAACUUUACUUAUGAUCAAGCGCUACCAAGCCAACAAUAGGAUCUAAUUUUAUACUCCUGUGUGAUAGUACUAAUUUUCAAAUUAACCACAUAACUCUCAGUACUGCACUGUGCCAGUAACAAAUUUACUAACGUGUCAAAAAGACCAAUAUUUAAACUCUAAGACAUCAGAUGGAUUUGAAGAUUAGCUUGCAUGAGUUGAACACAAAAUUGACUUGGAAAAACUGAAUUGUACAAAAAAAUUUGACGAUGUGUAAGACUUGACAUUUUACAGGUUCAUGUUGAUCCCUCAAUAUGGUGGUAAACCAUGACACUUUAUAACUCCAAGAAUCCUAAACAUUAACCACAAAAAUCUGGAAUUACUAACUCCCUCCCCUCAAAUAGAAAUAAAAGCAUAUGUAGUCAGAUGAACUCCAAAAUCAGAAAGAAUGAAAGAUAGUACAAGCCCAUAAUAGCGAUCAUCCCUAACAAGACAGUAUUAUAAACAGGUUCGAUUAGUGGAGUCAAAAGGACUAGAUUAACAGCCGGUAGGAAAGGUACUUAAACAAAAUAGCACGCUAAAAGUGGUAGAGGUAGAGUUUCCGGUUAGUUGAUUUUACCUCCAGUAAAAGUUGUCCAAAAAAAAAGUAGUACAAGAAAAAGGAAAAACACCCAAAACCCAAAACGAUUAGCCAGAGUAUAUAUUUUUUUGGCGUUUGCAACAUGAUGACCCCUGAAGUUUCAACAUUUGUUAUCAUAAUAAGAUAAUUAUUUCCACAUAUCUAACCAUGUAAUGGAUCUACAUAGCAUAUAGAAAAAUCAAAGAGCACAUCUCUUCUGGUGAGUCAUGUACUGUAAACUAAGGCCAAGUGUCCACUUCAAACGGUGUUUCUGAAAAAUGAAUACUCUAUACUAGUUUACUACUCUUAGUAUAGAGUAUGUUAAUAUCAGAUAAAGGAAUUGGUUAAAAGCACUUGACUUCCUAAAAAUAUCUAGCAUGAACAGAAAUGUGCAUAAAAAUAUUUUCAAGCUUAUGAAAACAAGUUUAGUAAAUGGACAGCAAACUCAAAUGACUUCGGUCAACAAAUCAUAUCAGCAGUGUUUCUGCAAGAGCCAAAUUAUUUGACUUCAAUAUACUAACAUCAUCAACCAGGUAGUCUAAGCAAAAAAGUAAGAAAAAAAAGGUUGGCAAAAGCAGUGAGUGAAAUGCUAACGCGUUGGUGUUCAACAUGAAAUGAAUGGAGAAGAAUCAAAUUUGCCUAGUCGGAAAAUGAAUGGAGAAGAAUCAUAUACCUAUAUACUACUAAAUGUUAACCUCUCUGGUCGCAAACGCUCCUCUGCCUCCUCCCGAGCUUUCCUUUUCCCGACCAUCUAGGUAGUGAGAGGAGGAGGUGGGUGAUAUUAGUAAAACUGCAAAAUAUAAUCAAGCUUGAAAACACAUAGGAGGACUGUUUUGGUUAACAUACAACUAAAUAUUGGAUAUCUAAGGAAGCAAUUUCACUCUAAUUCCAAUCGAUUUCAUUAUAUAGAUAAUUAGUAGUUAACUAACGAAACUCCCAGAGUCCCAGACAUUGAUGAACAAUGCUCUAGCAUCAAUUCCGAAUACAUAAUUUUCAUUCAAUAAUUAGAGAAAUCACCACAAAACCGCCUCAAAUCGCCAAAUCCCAAAGUGCACUACAGAUUAUCAAACCCAGGAAAACACAUCAAUCCAACUCAUAGAACCACACCGCCCAACUCAUAAUCCCCAAUCACGAGAAACAAAAACUAAUACUCCAGUAAAACUAAUAAACGAUUCGAAAAUCACUGAAACAACAAAACCUAGCACAUCCAACCACGAAAACGGAGAAACAGAGAGCGAGAAAACGGAGGAGUCUGAGAGGCGAUAGGAUACCUGGACUGGUAGGGAUUUAGGGAUUUCGAAUUGGGAUUUAGGGAUUGAGCUCAGUAGAGAUUGGAGGUGGGAUUUAAUCGGGGUUAGAGAUUGGAGGUGGCUGAAGUCAAAUGCGAUGUGGGAUUUAGGGAUUGAGCUUAGUAGAAAGGGGUUGGGCAAGAGGAGGAAGAAGGAGUUCGGGAUUUGGUUCGGUAAGGAGGAAGGAGGAGUUUGGGAUUUUUUUACAAUGUUUGGGUUCUCGAUCAGGAAGUGACGCUGAAUCAAUACAUAGUGACAAUUGAGCGACGAAAAAAUGUAAGGCUUUG